Molecule: ribosomal RNA, 415 nt
Filed under: uncultured Devosia sp.
Lineage: Bacteria; Pseudomonadati; Pseudomonadota; Alphaproteobacteria; Hyphomicrobiales; Devosiaceae
Description: bacterial SSU rRNA
Rfam family: Bacterial small subunit ribosomal RNA
Source: RNAcentral
GGAAUAUUGGACAAUGGGCGCAAGCCUGAUCCAGCCAUGCCGCGUGAGUGAUGAAGGCCUUAGGGUUGUAAAGCUCUUUCAGUGGGGAAGAUAAUGACGGUACCCACAGAAGAAGCCCCGGCUAACUUCGUGCCAGCAGCCGCGGUAAUACGAAGGGGGCUAGCGUUGUUCGGAUUUACUGGGCGUAAAGCGCACGUAGGCGGAUUGGUAAGUUAGAGGUGAAAUCCCAGAGCUCAACUCUGGAACUGCCUUUAAUACUGCCAGUCUAGAGUCCGGAAGAGGUAAGUGGAACUCCUAGUGUAGAGGUGGAAUUCGUAGAUAUUAGGAAGAACACCAGUGGCGAAGGCGGCUUACUGGUCCGGUACUGACGCUGAGGUGCGAAAGCGUGGGGAGCAAACAGGAUUAGAUACCCUAG